RNAcentral lists this microRNA (20 nucleotides) under Macaca mulatta (Rhesus monkey). RNAcentral's name for it is "mml-miR-572". Its record names the gene mml-miR-572. Lineage: Eukaryota; Metazoa; Chordata; Mammalia; Primates; Cercopithecidae. RNAcentral also lists the same sequence under 2 other names. The record is from miRBase by way of RNAcentral.
GUCCGCUCGGCGGUGGCCCA